GAUGAACGCUAGCUACAGGCUUAACACAUGCAAGUCGAGGGGAAACGGCAUCGAAAGCUUGCUUUUGAUGGGCGUCGACCGGCGCACGGGUGAGUAACGCGUAUCCAACCUGCCCAUCACUUGGGAAUAACCUUGCGAAAGUAAGACUAAUGCCCAAUGACAUCCCACGAAGGCAUCCGAAUGGGAUUAAAGAUUUAUCGGUGAUGGAUGGAGAUGCGUCUGAUUAGCUUGUUGGCGGGGUGACGGCCCACCAAGGCAACGAUCAGUAGGGGUUCUGAGAGGAAGGUCCCCCACAUUGGAACUGAGACACGGUCCAAACUCCUACGGGAGGCAGCAGUGAGGAAUAGUGGUCAAUGGGCGGGAGCCUGAACCAGCCAAGUAGCGUGCAGGAUGACGGCCCUAUGGGUUGUAAACUGCUUUUAUAAGGGAAUAAAGUGGGUCACGUGUGACUUUUUGCAUGUACCUUAUGAAUAAGGACCGGCUAAUUCCGUG
RNAcentral lists this ribosomal RNA (492 nucleotides) under uncultured bacterium. RNAcentral describes it as "partial 16S ribosomal RNA". It matches the Rfam family "Bacterial small subunit ribosomal RNA", at positions 28 to 507 of the family's 1533-position model. The record is from RNAcentral.